RNAcentral lists this ribosomal RNA (236 nucleotides) under uncultured bacterium. Its description in RNAcentral is "partial 16S ribosomal RNA". It matches the Rfam family "Bacterial small subunit ribosomal RNA", at positions 100 to 334 of the family's 1533-position model. The record is from RNAcentral.
CCGGCACGGGUGAGUAACACGUAUCCAACCUGCCGUCUACUCUUGGACAGCCUUCUGAAAGGAAGAUUAAUACAAGAUGGCAUCAUGAGUUCACAUGUUCACAUGAUUAAAGGUAUUCCGGUAGACGAUGGGGAUGCGUUCCAUUAGAUAGUAGGCGGGGUAACGGCCCACCUAGUCUUCGAUGGAUAGGGGUUCUGAGAGGAAGGUCCCCACAUUGGAACUGAGACACGGUCCAA